CUAGCAAUCAGCGAGACUCCGUGGGUGUAGGACCCUCCGAGCCAGGUGCGGGAUAUAAUCUUGUGGUGUGCCAUUUUUUAAGCCCAUCGGAAAAGCGCCGUAUUCGGGUGGGAGUGACCCGAUUUUCCAGGUGCCAUCUGUCACCCUUUUCUUUGACUCAGAAAGGGAACUUGCUGACCCCUUGCGCUUCCCAAGUGAGGCAAUGCCUCGCCCUGCUUCGGCUCACGCACAGUGCGCCCACCCACUGACCUGCGCCCACUGUCUGGCACUCGCUAGUGAGAUGAACCCGGUACCUCAGAUGGAAAUGCAGAAAUCACCCGUCUUCUGCGUCGCUCAGGCUGGGAGCUGUAGACCAGAGCUGUUCCUAUUCGGCCAUCUUCUGGUGCUACAUUUUAAAAGAGAAAGAAAAACUACAUAUACAGUAAGACAUUCUGUGCUGGGAGGAGAGCAGAGGAUCCAGGGAGCAGAUUGCAGGGAGCUUCACUGAAGCAAGAUGACCGUGAUGCUGGAGAAGAGCCCUUGAGAUGGAACAGCCUCAGGUACUGAGGAGUCCUUGUGGAAUUCCCCUUUGGAGUUGAGAGUUUCACAAGUUGUACAAUCACAAGGAGGGCACCUGUCUCUUUCUUCGUUUGGGCAUAUUCAACCAACACCUUCUGUCUUCAGCUUGAUGAGUAAGGAAGGACUGAAAGAAAUUCUAUGGCAGUACUGGCUGUGCCUGAGAAACCUCCUGCCACUCAAGCCCAGCAAGGUUCUUGGGAGAACAGUCCAGCAGAAUCAGUUAUCAAGUAAAAGUCACAACCAUAAGUUCAAUGCCACUGAUUCAUGCAACAGGUAGAACUAUCACAAGUCCCAUCAUCAUCUCCUCCUCUUCUGUGCUUCCUGACAGGACACAGGCAGGUUACUGAGUAGAUGGAUUGACCAGAGCUUCCUAUAAUACCAAGGAAAGUUUCACGGAGAACAUCUGGAAUUAAGUCAACUUGAGUGGAUUGAAGGAUGCAAAGUAUUUUUCCUGGGUGUGUCUGUCAGGGCGUUGCCAAAGGAGAUCAACAUUUGAGUCAGUGGCCCGGAAGAGGCAGACCCACCCUCUAUCUGGGUAGGCACCAUCUAAUCAGUUGCCAGUGUGGCUGGAAUAAAGCAGGCAGAAGAACAUGGAAGGACUUGACUUGCUGUCUUCUGGCCUUCAUCUUUCUCCUGUGGUGGAUGCUUCCUGCCCUUGAACCUUAGACUCCAGGUUCUUCAGCUUUUGGACUCUUGGACUUACACCAGUAAUUUGCCAGGGGCUGUCUCUCUAGCAUCCUUGCUCCUCAGCUUGCAGACAGCCUAUUGUGGGACUUCAAUUUGUGAUUGCAUGAGUCAAUACUUCUUAAUAAAUUCUCCUCCAUAUAUACAUCUGUCCUGUUUUUUCUGUUCCUUUAGAGAACCCUAAUUAAUACAGAUUUAUUCUCUUCCAGAUUCUUUUUAGAAAAAUUACAGAGAAUAUUGGAUU
This 1486-nucleotide long non-coding RNA is filed under the name Homo sapiens (human). RNAcentral's name for it is "HSALNT0069122". The record is from RNAcentral. Lineage: Eukaryota; Metazoa; Chordata; Mammalia; Primates; Hominidae.